Molecule: unclassified non-coding RNA, 95 nt
Organism: Cercocebus atys (sooty mangabey)
Lineage: Eukaryota; Metazoa; Chordata; Mammalia; Primates; Cercopithecidae
Rfam family: Y RNA
About the family: Y RNAs are components of the Ro ribonucleoprotein particle (Ro RNP), in association with Ro60 and La proteins.
Source: Ensembl
GGCUGGUCCAAUGGUAGUGGGUUAUCAGAACUUAUUCACAAUAGUGUUGCUACAGUUGGUAUACAACUAUCAACUGCUAAACUCACUGACGUUAA